This 198-nucleotide non-coding RNA is filed under the name Planctopirus limnophila. The record is from RNAcentral. Lineage: Bacteria; Pseudomonadati; Planctomycetota; Planctomycetia; Planctomycetales; Planctomycetaceae. RNAcentral also lists the same sequence under 1 other name.
ACUCUCCCUCCCGACAUGGGUGCUGGUGAGGCUUGUGGCUUCACUGGAGAAUAGGGAAGACGGUGCGAAUCCGUCACGGUCCCGCCGCUGUAUCCGGGGACGACAUUCACGUUGAGCCACUGCGCUGUAAAGCGUGGGAAGGUGUGAUUGGUCGAAUGAUCCGGGAGUCAGAAGACCUGCCCAGAUGUCAUUUUGUUG